ACCGGCCUUGUCUAAGUAUAAGCAAUUAUACGGCGAAACUGCGAAUGGCUCAUUAUAUAAGUUAUCGUUUAUUUGAUAGUACCUUACUACUUGGAUAACCGUGGUAAUUCUAGAGCUAAUACAUGCUUAAAAUCCCGACUUCGGAAGGGAUGUAUUUAUUAGAUUAAAAACCAAUGCCCUUCGGGGCUCUCUGGUGAUUCAUGAUAACUUCUCGAAUCGCAUGGCCUUGCGCCGGCGAUGUUCAUUCAAAUUUCUUCCCUAUCAACUUUCGAUGUUUGGGUAUUGCCAAACAUGGUUGCAACGGGUAACGGAGGGUUAGGGCUCGACCCCGGAGAAGGAGCCUGAGAAACGCUACUACAUCCAAGGAAGGCAGCAGGCGCGCAAAUUACCAAUCCCGACUCGGGGAGGUAGUGACAAUAAAUACUGAUACAGGGUUCUUUUGGAUCUUGUAAUUGGAAUGAGUACAAUUUAAAUCCCUUAACGAGGAACAAUUGGAGGGCAAGUCUGGUGCCAGCAGCCGCGGUAAUUCCAGCUCCAAUAGCGUAUAUUAAAGUUGUUGUGGUUAAAAAGCUCGUAGUUGAACCUUGGGCCUGGCUGGCCGGUCCGCCUCACCGCGUGUACUGGUCCGGCCGGGCCUUUCCCUCUGUGGAACCCUAUGCCCUUCACUGGGUGUAGCGGGGAAACAGGACUUUUACUUUGAAAAAAUUAGAGUGCUCCAGGCAGGCCUUUGCUCGAAUACAUUAGCAUGGAAUAAUAAAAUAGGACGUGUGGUUCUAUUUUGUUGGUUUCUAGGACCGCCGUAAUGAUUAAUAGGGACAGUCGGGGGCAUCAGUAUUCAAUUGUCAGAGGUGAAAUUCUUGGAUUUAUUGAAGACUAACUACUGCGAAAGCAUUUGCCAAGGAUGUUUUCAUUAAUCAGGAACGAAAGUUAGGGGAUCGAAGACGAUCAGAUACCGUCGUAGUCUUAACCAUAAACUAUGCCGACUAGGGAUCGGACGAUGUUAAAAAUUGACUCGUUCGGCACCUUACGAGAAAUCAAAGUGCUUGGGCUCCAGGGGGAGUAUGGUCGCAAGGCUGAAACUUAAAGAAAUUGACGGAAGGGCACCACCAGGGGUGGAGCCUGCGGCUUAAUUUGACUCAACACGGGGAAACUCACCAGGUCCAGACACAAUGAGGAUUGACAGAUUGAGAGCUCUUUCUUGAUUUUGUGGGUGGUGGUGCAUGGCCGUUCUUAGUUGGUGGAGUGAUUUGUCUGCUUAAUUGCGAUAACGAACGAGACCUUAACCUGCUAACUAGCCCGUAUUGCUUUGGCAGUACGCUGGCUUCUUAGAGGGCUAUCGCUCAAGCCGAGAAUUUAUCGCUCAAGCCCCAAGAUUCGG
RNAcentral lists this ribosomal RNA (1378 nucleotides) under Clonostachys rosea. RNAcentral describes it as "SSU rRNA". It matches the Rfam family "Eukaryotic small subunit ribosomal RNA", at positions 48 to 1434 of the family's 1831-position model. Lineage: Eukaryota; Fungi; Ascomycota; Sordariomycetes; Hypocreales; Bionectriaceae. The record is from RNAcentral.